This 1207-nucleotide ribosomal RNA is filed under the name metagenome. RNAcentral's name for it is "bacterial SSU rRNA". It matches the Rfam family "Bacterial small subunit ribosomal RNA", at positions 281 to 1498 of the family's 1533-position model. The record is from RNAcentral.
CAGUAGGGGUUCUGAGAGGAAGGUCCCCCACAUUGGAACUGAGACACGGUCCAAACUCCUACGGGAGGCAGCAGUGAGGAAUAUUGGUCAAUGGGCGAGAGCCUGAACCAGCCAAGUAGCGUGCAGGAAGACGGCCCUAUGGGUUGUAAACUGCUUUUAUAAGGGAAUAAAGUGAGUCUCGUGAGACUUUUUGCAUGUACCUUAUGAAUAAGGACCGGCUAAUUCCGUGCCAGCAGCCGCGGUAAUACGGAAGGUCCGGGCGUUAUCCGGAUUUAUUGGGUUUAAAGGGAGCGUAGGCCGGAGAUUAAGCGUGUUGUGAAAUGCAGACGCUCAACGUCUGCACUGCAGCGCGAACUGGUUUCCUUGAGUACGCACAAAGUGGGCGGAAUUCGUGGUGUAGCGGUGAAAUGCUUAGAUAUCACGAAGAACUCCGAUUGCGAAGGCAGCUCACUGGAGCGCAACUGACGCUGAAGCUCGAAAGUGCGGGUAUCGAACAGGAUUAGAUACCCUGGUAGUCCGCACGGUAAACGAUGGAUGCCCGCUGUUGGUCUGAACAGGUCAGCGGCCAAGCGAAAGCAUUAAGCAUCCCACCUGGGGAGUACGCCGGCAACGGUGAAACUCAAAGGAAUUGACGGGGGCCCGCACAAGCGGAGGAACAUGUGGUUUAAUUCGAUGAUACGCGAGGAACCUUACCCGGGCUUGAAUUGCAGAGGAAGGAUUUGGAGACAAUGACGCCCUUCGGGGUCUCUGUGAAGGUGCUGCAUGGUUGUCGUCAGCUCGUGCCGUGAGGUGUCGGCUUAAGUGCCAUAACGAGCGCAACCCCUCUCCUUAGUUGCCAUCAGGUUAAGCUGGGCACUCUGGGGACACUGCCACCGUAAGGUGUGAGGAAGGUGGGGAUGACGUCAAAUCAGCACGGCCCUUACGUCCGGGGCUACACACGUGUUACAAUGGCAGGUACAGAGAGACGGUUGUACGUAAGUACGAUCAAAUCCUUAAAGCCUGUCUCAGUUCGGACUGGGGUCUGCAACCCGACCCCACGAAGCUGGAUUCGCUAGUAAUCGCGCAUCAGCCAUGGCGCGGUGAAUACGUUCCCGGGCCUUGUACACACCGCCCGUCAAGCCAUGAAAGCCGGGGGCGCCUAAAGUCCGUGACCGUAAGGAGCGGCCUAGGGCGAAACUGGUAAUUGGGGCUAAGUCGUAACAAGGUA